RNAcentral lists this long non-coding RNA (2640 nucleotides) under Medicago truncatula (barrel medic). RNAcentral's name for it is "long non-coding RNA (MTRU_LNC001772)". Lineage: Eukaryota; Viridiplantae; Streptophyta; Magnoliopsida; Fabales; Fabaceae. The record is from RNAcentral.
UCAACUUGAACAUGAUGUCACACUACUUUAAAAGAUAAAUAGAGUAGAAUUACUAUUUAUACAAAACAUCUCAUGUCAACAAUUCAAAAUACAUUGCAGUGGAAAACAUUCAUUUAACAACACAAUGGCACAACGGCCUCAACAUAAACAACAUAUUAAAAUUCCAUUCUAGGUGGUUCAUCAACAUAAUCAUAAUAAUACGUAGCAAAGGAAAUAAACAUCAAAAGUCCCCAUCCUGUUACGUAUCAGAGCGACUCCUAAGAUGACACAAGGAUUCAACUCACAUCUGCGGUUACUCCUGGUUAUCUGCAUGUUACCAACGUAGAGGCAGCAUUCAAACAAAAGGGGUGAGAUUUCACAUUAAAUAAUAAUAAACAUAUAAUUCUAUAAAAGAAUUUAACAACACAUAACAACAUCUAUUCAUCAUUAGCAAUACUAAUAAACAAUAACUCAUGUGAGAGAAAUCACCAACACAAAACAACGGCAAAUCAUCAUCAUAAUAUACUUCAUUAUUCUCAUCGCCAAGAUAAAUUAAUCAUCAUCAUUCAAAUCAUCAACAACAAUGCUUCACAUAAAUUCCAACUAUAAAUCAUCAAUUAACUUUACUCAACAAUGCAACAACAACAACUCAUCAAAUGCCAUAUGUAUGUGGUACCAUCAGAGCAUCAAGCCCUCAACUUUAAUAUGAAUGAUUAUACAUUCCAGAGCAUCAAGCCAUCUAGUUUAAUAUGAAUGAUUAUACAUUCCAGAGCAUCAAGCUCUCAACUUUAAUGAUUAUGCAUGGACUCAACAACAAAUGUAACAACAACCAACAACUUCAACGACAUCGACAACAACUUACAACUUUAACGACAAUAGCGGCAAUGUUCUAGACUCGUCUAGAUGCAUGUGGUACCGACUGAAUUCCGAAGAUAAUUUUACCGUAUUGAACCCACUAUGCAAUCCCCUCCAACUACGUACUAACAUAACUCCCUUCGGUUAUGUUCCCACCAUGACUUGACAUGACUAUGAAUGCAUGGACAUGUAAGCAAAGAAUCGACAAUGCGAUAAAUUACAACAUCAUAUUAUAUGAUCCCUUCAUCAUAUAAUAUUCCCACCAAGAAUCUACCAAUGCAUCAUCAAGUAUUUACGUCCAUACAUUUCAACAAGUCAUAUUCAACAAGAGUCAUAAACGUAUUCAACAUUCAUCCAUCACAAAUAAAACACAAUCUUCUCACAAUUCACCAUUUUGCAUGAAAGUAGACAUAUAACACCAUUCGUGAUAUUCAAGCAUCAAACACCUAACAAUCAUCAUUUCAUCCUCAAUUCAUCCUAUUAUCAUGUUUCUAAGGCCGUUUAGAAGUUACCUAAUCAAGACAACUCAUUUCAACGAAGUUCGUCUAUUUUAACAACUUUCAUCAUUUUCUAAGUAAUUUGACAAAACAAAGUAUACAUGUUCAAAGACCUCAACAAAGCAUAUCCACUGCUCGGAUAUGAUCACAGUAGCAUAUGCAUAUACGCAUCAUAGGCCAAUUCCCAUUAAUUCAAAAUUUUCUCUAAGUUCAUCUCACUUUAUCAUUUUUUCAAAAGAAUUCCAAUUUUCAAAGUAAAACCAAGUUAAAACUCAUUAAUAACAUUCAAAACUAUUUUAUAAAUCAUAGUUACAGUAAACAACCCUAACCCCCACCUUUUUCCUUUGAGAAAAACGAGUUUCGGAAAAUUAUACGUUCUUGAAUAUUUUUCAAAAAGUUUGAUUCGAUUCAUAAACCAAGUUUAAUCUAAUUCAUUUGAUGUUUCCAAAGGUUUAGAAAGCAUAACCACAGUUAAAUACAUCAAAAGCAUAAUUUAGGAAAGUCUAGAUCGACCCCGAAGUACCCGGAACUCAAAAAAUAUGGGCUGUUGUACUGAGUAACUCACCACAACAUGUAGUCACUCACUCAACGAGUUCAUCAGUAUAGGGAACCCAUAUUUUUUGGUUUUUUUCGUGAACUCGCUCAAUUUUUAUUCAAAAACUCCGAUUUUGAUCCCCUUUGACCCCAAUUUGUUCCCCAAACUUGUUUAUUAUUUAAUAUACAUCAAAAGACAAUCAAAACAACAUCAAACAUGGAAUCAUAACAUCAGUUCUCAUCAUUAUGUUCAUUUUUCACCAAAACUCACAAUUUUCUCAUUUUUCAUUCAAACUUCACAAACAACCACACAAAUUCAAACCCCAUCAAGAUACAAACAUAAAUAAGCAUUUGUGAAGUGAAUUUAAACAUGUUUCAACAAUAAUCACUCAUCAAUUCAUGACUUACACUCAAAUAAGCAAAAAUCACCAAAACAACUUAUCAACAACAACUUUGAGUUUUAAGCACAUAACAUAACAAAUUCAUGAAGUUUAUUAUACCAAUAAAUUCACUUGAGUUAAGAGCACAAAAUUCAUCAUGAAAAAUCACAAAAGUCCCAAUUAGCACCAAAGCACUUAAACCCAUAAUUGAAAAUAAGAGAUUAUAGCUUAACUAUGAAAAAGAAACCACCCCCCUUACCUCUAGUCUUCAAAGAUCCUAGCUAUGGCUUCAAUUUAGCUCCUAGUUCUUCAAACCCCUAGAUCUCUCUCUAGCUUCCUCUUCUUUCCUCUUGAUCCACAUUCUCUCUCUAUAUUAUGUUUUUGUGAAAUGAAAU